GUGUCAGCCGCCGCGGUACUACCGGCAGCCCGAGUGAUGGCCGAUAUUAUUGGGCCUAAAGCGUCCGUAGCUGGCCGAACAAGUCCGUCGGGAAAUCCACGUGCUUAACACGUGGGCGACCGGCGGAAACUGCACAGCUUGGGACCGGAAGGCUCGAAGGGUACGUUCGGGGUAGGAGUGAAAUCCCGUAAUCCCGGGCGGACUACCGAUGGCGAAAGCACUCUGAGAAGACGGCUUCGACAGUGAGGGACGAAAGCUCGGGUCUCAAACCGGAUUAGAAACCCUUGUAGUCC
RNAcentral lists this ribosomal RNA (293 nucleotides) under uncultured bacterium. Its description in RNAcentral is "partial 16S ribosomal RNA". It matches the Rfam family "Archaeal small subunit ribosomal RNA", at positions 455 to 747 of the family's 1478-position model. The record is from RNAcentral.